Molecule: ribosomal RNA, 235 nt
Filed under: uncultured bacterium
Lineage: Bacteria
Description: partial 16S ribosomal RNA
Rfam family: Bacterial small subunit ribosomal RNA
Source: RNAcentral
CGGGUGAGUAACACGUAUGCAAUCCACCUGUAACAGGGAGAUAACCCGGAGAAAUCCGGACUAAUACCCCAUAAUAUGGGCGCUCCGCAUGGAGAGUCCAUUAAAGAGAGCAAUCUUGGUUACAGACGAGCAUGCGCUCCAUUAGCCAGUUGGCGGGGUAACGGCCCACCAAGGCGACGAUGGAUAGGGGUUCUGAGAGGAAGGUCCCCCACAUUGGAACUGAGACACGGUCCAA